Molecule: ribosomal RNA, 468 nt
Filed under: uncultured bacterium
Lineage: Bacteria
Description: partial 16S ribosomal RNA
Rfam family: Bacterial small subunit ribosomal RNA
Source: RNAcentral
GACGAACGCUGGCGGCGUGCUUAACACAUGCAAGUCGAACGGAAAGGCCCUGCUUUUGUGGGGUGCUCGAGUGGCGAACGGGUGAGUAACACGUGAGUAACCUGCCCUUGACUUUGGGAUAACUUCAGGAAACUGGGGCUAAUACCGGAUAGGAGCUCCGGCUGCAUGGUGGGGGUGGGAAAGUUUCGGCGGUUGGGGAUGGACUCGCGGCUUAUCAGCUUGUGGGUGGGGUAGUGGCUUACCAAGGCUUUGACGGGUAGCCGGCCUGAGAGGGUGACCGGCCACAUUGGGACUGAGAUACGGCCCAGACUCCUACGGGAGGCAGCAGUGGGGAAUAUUGCACAAUGGGCGGAAGCCUGAUGCAGUAACGCCGCGUGCGGGAUGACGGCCUUCGGGUUGUAAACCGCUUUCGCCUGUGACGAAGCGUGAGUGACGGUAAUGGGUAAAGAAGCACCGGCUAACUACGUG